Molecule: ribosomal RNA, 492 nt
Filed under: uncultured bacterium
Lineage: Bacteria
Description: partial 16S ribosomal RNA
Rfam family: Bacterial small subunit ribosomal RNA
Source: RNAcentral
AGUGAACGCUAGCGGUAGGCCUAACACAUGCAAGCCGAACGGCAGCACAGUAAGAGCUUGCUCUUACGGGUGGCGAGUGGCGGACGGGUGAGGAAUACAUCGGAAUCUACUUUUUCGUGGGGGAUAACGUAGGGAAACUUACGCUAAUACCGCAUACGACCUACGGGUGAAAGCAGGGGAUCUUCGGACCUUGCGCGAUUGAAUGAGCCGAUGUCGGAUUAGCUAGUUGGCGGGGUAAAGGCCCACCAAGGCGACGAUCCGUAGCUGGUCUGAGAGGAUGAUCAGCCACACUGGAACUGAGACACGGUCCAGACUCCUACGGGAGGCAGCAGUGGGGAAUAUUGGACAAUGGGCGCAAGCCUGAUCCAGCCAUACCGCGUGGGUGAAGAAGGCCUUCGGGUUGUAAAGCCCUUUUGUUGGGAAAGAAAAGCAGCAGGUUAAUACCCCGCUGUUCUGACGGUACCCAAAGAAUAAGCACCGGCUAACUUCGUG